This is a long non-coding RNA of Ornithorhynchus anatinus (platypus), 2999 nucleotides long. RefSeq lists it as uncharacterized. The transcript is spliced from 7 exons. Lineage: Eukaryota; Metazoa; Chordata; Mammalia; Monotremata; Ornithorhynchidae. The record is from RefSeq and is a predicted model, not a curated record.
CUCUGACUCCCAGGCCCGGGCUCUUUCCACUAAGCCACCUUAAUUGAUAAUUCAGAGAGCUUUGGAAAGGGGAGAGGAAGCACAGAGAAUGGCACUAAAGAAAAUUUCAUCUAAUGAACUUAACACUUCUAAGGCGUAGAAUUCAUUUUUACCUCCAUGAUAAAGUUUUACUUCAGCCAUAAGGUUCUUGUAAUAAGUUAAUGGAAGUAGCUAAAUAUGAUUGGCUUCCAUGUUGCCAGAGAUCACAUAGACUAAUGACAUUGUCUAAAUACUGUGAAGGCAUUUUCCCUACCCGCCUUACCCUCUGCCUUUAUUAUGCACUUGGCUGGGUACCCCUUAAGUACUUUGAAACUCUCCUCAGCCUUAUGUAGCUAUCCUCAUACUCUAUUAUUCCUAGUAACUGUAAUUUAUUUUAACCUAUUGCUCCCUGUGUAGAUUGUAGGCACCUCGUGGGCAGGGAUUGUCUACCAAACCUAUCGUACUCACCCAAAUGUUUAGUACUCUGAACACAGUGAACAGAAUUGAUUUUUGACUUAUAAUCAGAACUAGUAAGCAUUUUAUGAGGUCAAAACCAAGAGGGAUUGUUUGCUUUAACCUUAUUCCCACGGGCUUUGACAAACUCAUUUUUUUCCCCCCUCGUCAUUAGGCCACAUUUGAAGAGGACAUUUGGAAAAAGGAAUGUUUAUGCAGGACAACGGGACAGCAGGAUGUCAGGAGAGGAUGAGACCAUUUCAUAAGGUGACUAAGCACCUCCCCUUAUGGAGAAAAAAAGCCCCUGCGUUUCCAGUGGUCAAGAGCAAUACAACAUGAGCUCAGAGGAAAUGUGCAAAGAGUACCUACCUACUUCCUCCCAAAGACUACCUUCAGCAGCGUGGACCGUGCCGCCAGCCCAGAAAUCUGAGCAUAUGUAUGGACCCCAAAGAGGAUUCCAGCCACUUGGACGCAUCGAGGCCUAUGCUGAGCCAAACUAGAGCUGUGCUCCAGCCAAGCCUGGUUUUCUUGAAGAAUCUUUUGGGAGCCAUAUGGUCUGCCUUACUGCUGGUAAACACCACUGGUUGGUCACCACGAGGCGUGGAAUGGCAGGCUCCCUCAGGGAUGAAGGCACGAUGUCUAUACCUUGAGUCACACACUGCAUUACCUUGGCUUGAUGGUCUAUCCGGUAAGAAGUCUGCUGGAACUGACGUAUCUCCCUGAUAAUAUGCGAGAUCUACCAGAUGAAAGAACAACAAUAAGCACAUGACUUCAUCUUUCCCUCCACCUCAAAAUUCUGAGCUACUGCCUGUCAUUGACACCCGGCAUCCUCUCAGCACCUUAGCUGACUUCCAGUCCCUUUUGCCUUCUCCAGCGACAGUAGGUCUUGGACUGAAUCAACUUAAGUACUGUGAUGAGCCAGCCUACAAGAGAUCCCAUGACCAAAAUCACCAGAUUGCAAAACAUCAGAGGUCUAGCUACCAGUGGAGUCCACGACAUGAGCCAGAUGAUACCGUCUUCUGAAGUUUGUCCAUAAGAGCUUUAGUCUAGAAGGGAAAAACAGCACUCCGUCAAACAUCACUAGACACUUUGGCCCAGGUUUUCUUCAGCCUGUAGAUCGCGCUUCUGUUCAAGGCCGAGGUGAUCUCCAGCACCCCGUUGUAAUCGUGCAGACAGCGACAGAUGUCAGCUACUGCCACCCACUUCUCAAUCGAGUUCGCCCGAGAGCUGACGUCGGCGUAGUUCAUGAUUUGGGAGGCUACGAGAUUACUCAUCUGGCACAGAGCCAAAAAAGGGUGGAUUUGGUGGGGGGGGGGGGGGAACACCUCAACUGCACACCAUCAUUUUUAAGUAAAUGUGAAAAACAACAACAGCAACAUAAGAAAUAGUUGGAAAUAGUCAUGGUUAAAGCUCUGUAGGACAAAUAGGCCUAUCAGUUGGGUCAGAUUGUGCCUUCUUUUAAUUCUGUAUAGCACCUAGUGAGGGGAAAAGAAGUAAUUACUGAUUCUCAUGUUAAUGAUCCCAAUGUGUGGAGAUGAGAUCUCAAGAAGAGGGGAGGGUGGUCUAAUAUCUUCUUUUACUGAACCUCUUUGCUAGGAGAGAUUUUACACAUUUGAAAUUUGUUAAAAUGGAAAAAAUCCCAAAAGUCUGAUGCCCAAACCCAAAUCCUACUGACUGGUGCCACCUGGGAACUGCAGGGGUUUGGGCAGAACCGGGCCCCUUUCCCCCUGAGAGGGGAACUGCUGCCGAAUCACAUUGUCCAGACUCCUGUCCGGGAGCAGAAACCUGGUGCUGAGCCUACUACUCUCAGGACGGCUCUCUCAACCUAGAAUAAUUACAAGUACAAAGCUGCUGAGCCACUCCCAGUCUUUUCAAGACAGAUAGCUCAGCAGAGGCACUGGCUCUUCCCCAUGGAAGCAGCUAAAGGAUUUCCUUGAGGAAAGAGAAGCUGCAGAGUAAGGAUCCCAGCCAGACCCUGUAAGGAAGUGUUUGUUCGCCUGGAUCCCGGAGAUGGCACGGUGAGAUAAAAGUGGGGAGACCAAACUCACUAAUGAGAGGGCUGGAGGCUCGUUAAUACCACUGCAAAAAUGAAACAGGAAAAAUCACAAGAGGGAUAAAAGGUGGACGAAAGCUGAAAGAUGACACUGACCUUCACUCAAAGAAACGUUGCAAAUAAAUAUCAUGAAGGAUUUGAAUCAUCUCUUUCUUACAAUGGCAGGCAAUCUUUGUUCCAACUGGACAGAACUCAACACUCUCAUGGUUUGGAAAGUUAAAGCAAACAGGCUGAGGGCAGCUAUCUACUACAUACACAAUCUCUGCUUAGACUGUGAGCCCUUUGAGGGCCAGGGACUGUGCCUUAAUUCCCACUGGUGUAUUGUUUCCCAAGCCUUAGUAUACUGCUCUCUUUAUGCAAACAGUAAAUGCUUAAUAAAUACACAUAUCCUGAAAUCCAUCUAACGUUGUGCUUCCAAAGCUAAGUAUUUUUUUGAUUACUCACAUCAUUAAAGUGUUGGCUGGUUUUCAUAAUG